UACGGAGGAUGCGAGCGUUAUCCGGAUUUAUUGGGUUUAAAGGGUGCGUAGGCGGGAUGCCAAGUCAGCGGUAAAAAUGCGGUGCUCAACGCCGUCGAGCCGUUGAAACUCGCGUUCUUGAGUGGGCGAGAAGUAUGCGGAAUGCGUGGUGUAGCGGUGAAAUGCAUAGAUAUCACGCAGAACUCCGAUUGCGAAGGCAGCAUACCGGCGCCCUACUGACGCUGAGGCACGAAAGCGUGGGUAUCGAACAGG
RNAcentral lists this ribosomal RNA (252 nucleotides) under uncultured bacterium. RNAcentral's name for it is "partial 16S ribosomal RNA". It matches the Rfam family "Bacterial small subunit ribosomal RNA", at positions 524 to 776 of the family's 1533-position model. The record is from RNAcentral.